AGAAAUGUUACCCUUUAUCCCCAGUUUAGGGCGUAGUCGUGAAGAAUCAAAACUGCCAUCUUCAUUCCUACCAAGGUCUAGGGAGAAAAGAUUUUGUGUUAUUGGAGAAGCAAGUAGAGUUCAUGAUAAUGGUUGACAACGUUUAUGGUCAUAUUUAGUUUCAGAAGUAUUAAUCAUAAGGAAUCUACAUUCCACUUGGUGCUCCGUUUUCUUGGUGGCAUGCAAAUUUUUAUUAAGACUUUGAUAAGAAAGAUUAUCACUUGAAAGGUAGAAAGUUCUAACACCAUUGAUAAUGUAAAGGGUAAAAUCCAAGACAAGGAGGGGAUCCCACCUGACUAGUAGAGGUUGAUCUUUGUAGGGAAGCAGCUAGAGGACGGAAGGGCUUUAACAGACUAUAACAUUCAAAA
Non-coding RNA from Carica papaya (papaya), 407 nucleotides. The record is from RefSeq and is a predicted model, not a curated record. Lineage: Eukaryota; Viridiplantae; Streptophyta; Magnoliopsida; Brassicales; Caricaceae.